AGCUUUUAUGCAAGUAGAAGCAGCACACCUGAUUCAGACCACACUAUGAUAUCAGUAUGCAUACAUUUUGUAGAUACCAAAGAUUAAUAAAAUAUAGUGAUAAAAAGAGAAAUGUAAUUAGUGCACAUUAUUUAUUGUUAAUCUAUCAUCUUAGAAGUCCCACAUAAAAAUAGAUAAUCUGUAAAGAUCAUCGUGCAUUUUUACUGAAUCUUGAACUAUUUGAGUUCAUAAAUUUAAAAGCAUUAACUCAGGGGCUUGAACUAAGAAAUAUGACAGAACUGCAAAUUGAUUACAUUGGCGGAUUCAGAACACAUACAUAACAACAACUCUUAUAGAUCCUACCUAAUACAUGCAUCCGCAAUAUUUUGGGGAGGGUAUUGAAAAUAAAUUAAAUUAAUCUGGUUCCCAACCAUUUAUGUGGGGUUACAUGAUGUAUUAACGGCCCUAAGAAAAAUACAUUGGAUUGGGCGAAGGAAAACACUUGUACCUAUGUUUGGCUUCCCCUCUUUUGCGAGAUCAUGUUCCAAGGGAGAGUAGUGUAGAACAGAGUACCAAUUAGCUUUGUGUUCAUAACCAUAAUUUCAUAAUCAAGCCACACAUGCAUCUUUAGCACAAGGGCUAAAAAAGUUAGUGGGAGCACAAUCUGAAAAUACACAACACCAAAAUGCUAACUUAACAUGAGAAAGAGAAGUAAAUACCCAAGAAGAUGAUUUGAUCAUUUUGUUUCCAAGGAAGAACGCUGACAGAAAGAAUCAUAUAUUGAACCUUAGAAUAGCAGACAUUCAGAUCAACUCUGUAGUCCGCAGUGUAGCUCUGCUAGCAGUUUACACUACAAUAAAAGAACAUGUAAAGUAAGAGGAUAAAUAAAUACUUCUCCAGCAGUAUGUGGUUUUCUCAGUGAAAACAAAAUGAAUUCUACAAAACCACAUCUAUGCAGAUAUGCUCCGCAGGAGGAAAAUGCAUGCUUACCCAGUAUAUUAUAUAAAAAAUACCAUAUAAAACCAAUAUAAAUACGACACCAAGACAGCUACUUAUCAGGCUACCACAGGAUGUAACCAAUUGAUGCAAUAACACACACCUAAAGCAGUAGAGUGAAUAAAAAGAGGUGGUUGUGAAGCAGUAGUCAUUGUGUAACAGACAUACAUUUAAUCCUCUAAUGUAGAACCGGAGAUAUCAAUACAUACAUCAAGAUGACUAUUUUGUAGAGUAACUCGAGAAAAGAAUUAACAUGUUUGCCUGUUUUAAAAGCUCAAGUGAAUAUGCAGUUUGAUUACAACCAUACUCAACCAUGUAUCCGGUCAUCUGUUCUUUACUCUCAUGUAAUUAAGAGAAACUCACUUCUUGUAGGUAUCAUGUGACACUGUCUUAUCAACACUAUUAUAAAUAAAAUUAACCAAUGGAAUGCGGCUGGAACCUAGUGGGUGGAGCAAGAGAUUCGAUACUGUACUUCCCCUAAGCUGGUACUGAAGGCAUAUAAUUUAUUCGUCAGAUUUAGGUAUUCUGUGAUGGCCAGGUUAUCAAUGUAGAUGCUUUACAAAUGUGUCAAAAGUGUUCUGUCUCAAUGUAGAUGCAGUAACAUAUAUGUAUUCUGCACAUGCAGUAUUCUUCAUAUAUUCUGCAGAUACAUCAACCCUAUUCUUAUUAUAAAGAUGGCCAGGUUAUCAGUAUUCUUGUUUUAACACAAGUUCAGUCUAAUGAGUACAG
RNAcentral lists this long non-coding RNA (1704 nucleotides) under Triticum aestivum (bread wheat). Its description in RNAcentral is "long non-coding RNA (TAES_LNC004120)". Lineage: Eukaryota; Viridiplantae; Streptophyta; Magnoliopsida; Poales; Poaceae. The record is from RNAcentral.